RNAcentral lists this ribosomal RNA (2930 nucleotides) under Escherichia coli. Its description in RNAcentral is "23S ribosomal RNA". It matches the Rfam family "Bacterial large subunit ribosomal RNA". Lineage: Bacteria; Pseudomonadati; Pseudomonadota; Gammaproteobacteria; Enterobacterales; Enterobacteriaceae. The record is from RNAcentral.
GGGUUGUGAGGUUAAGCGACUAAGCGUACACGGUGGAUGCCCUGGCAGUCAGAGGCGAUGAAGGACGUGCUAAUCUGCGAUAAGCGUCGGUAAGGUGAUAUGAACCGUUAUAACCGGCGAUUUCCGAAUGGGGAAACCCAGUGUGUUUCGACACACUAUCAUUAACUGAAUCCAUAGGUUAAUGAGGCGAACCGGGGGAACUGAAACAUCUAAGUACCCCGAGGAAAAGAAAUCAACCGAGAUUCCCCCAGUAGCGGCGAGCGAACGGGGAGCAGCCCAGAGCCUGAAUCAGUGUGUGUGUUAGUGGAAGCGUCUGGAAAGGCGCGCGAUACAGGGUGACAGCCCCGUACACAAAAAUGCACAUACUGUGAGCUCGAUGAGUAGGGCGGGACACGUGGUAUCCUGUCUGAAUAUGGGGGGACCAUCCUCCAAGGCUAAAUACUCCUGACUGACCGAUAGUGAACCAGUACCGUGAGGGAAAGGCGAAAAGAACCCCGGCGAGGGGAGUGAAAAAGAACCUGAAACCGUGUACGUACAAGCAGUGGGAGCACGCUUAGGCGUGUGACUGCGUACCUUUUGUAUAAUGGGUCAGCGACUUAUAUUCUGUAGCAAGGUUAACCGAAUAGGGGAGCCGAAGGGAAACCGAGUCUUAACUGGGCGUUAAGUUGCAGGGUAUAGACCCGAAACCCGGUGAUCUAGCCAUGGGCAGGUUGAAGGUUGGGUAACACUAACUGGAGGACCGAACCGACUAAUGUUGAAAAAUUAGCGGAUGACUUGUGGCUGGGGGUGAAAGGCCAAUCAAACCGGGAGAUAGCUGGUUCUCCCCGAAAGCUAUUUAGGUAGCGCCUCGUGAAUUCAUCUCCGGGGGUAGAGCACUGUUUCGGCAAGGGGGUCAUCCCGACUUACCAACCCGAUGCAAACUGCGAAUACCGGAGAAUGUUAUCACGGGAGACACACGGCGGGUGCUAACGUCCGUCGUGAAGAGGGAAACAACCCAGACCGCCAGCUAAGGUCCCAAAGUCAUGGUUAAGUGGGAAACGAUGUGGGAAGGCCCAGACAGCCAGGAUGUUGGCUUAGAAGCAGCCAUCAUUUAAAGAAAGCGUAAUAGCUCACUGGUCGAGUCGGCCUGCGCGGAAGAUGUAACGGGGCUAAACCAUGCACCGAAGCUGCGGCAGCGACGCUUAUGCGUUGUUGGGUAGGGGAGCGUUCUGUAAGCCUGCGAAGGUGUGCUGUGAGGCAUGCUGGAGGUAUCAGAAGUGCGAAUGCUGACAUAAGUAACGAUAAAGCGGGUGAAAAGCCCGCUCGCCGGAAGACCAAGGGUUCCUGUCCAACGUUAAUCGGGGCAGGGUGAGUCGACCCCUAAGGCGAGGCCGAAAGGCGUAGUCGAUGGGAAACAGGUUAAUAUUCCUGUACUUGGUGUUACUGCGAAGGGGGGACGGAGAAGGCUAUGUUGGCCGGGCGACGGUUGUCCCGGUUUAAGCGUGUAGGCUGGUUUUCCAGGCAAAUCCGGAAAAUCAAGGCUGAGGCGUGAUGACGAGGCACUACGGUGCUGAAGCAACAAAUGCCCUGCUUCCAGGAAAAGCCUCUAAGCAUCAGGUAACAUCAAAUCGUACCCCAAACCGACACAGGUGGUCAGGUAGAGAAUACCAAGGCGCUUGAGAGAACUCGGGUGAAGGAACUAGGCAAAAUGGUGCCGUAACUUCGGGAGAAGGCACGCUGAUAUGUAGGUGAAGUCCCUCGCGGAUGGAGCUGAAAUCAGUCGAAGAUACCAGCUGGCUGCAACUGUUUAUUAAAAACACAGCACUGUGCAAACACGAAAGUGGACGUAUACGGUGUGACGCCUGCCCGGUGCCGGAAGGUUAAUUGAUGGGGUCAGCGCAAGCGAAGCUCUUGAUCGAAGCCCCGGUAAACGGCGGCCGUAACUAUAACGGUCCUAAGGUAGCGAAAUUCCUUGUCGGGUAAGUUCCGACCUGCACGAAUGGCGUAAUGAUGGCCAGGCUGUCUCCACCCGAGACUCAGUGAAAUUGAACUCGCUGUGAAGAUGCAGUGUACCCGCGGCAAGACGGAAAGACCCCGUGAACCUUUACUAUAGCUUGACACUGAACAUUGAGCCUUGAUGUGUAGGAUAGGUGGGAGGCUUUGAAGUGUGGACGCCAGUCUGCAUGGAGCCGACCUUGAAAUACCACCCUUUAAUGUUUGAUGUUCUAACGUUGACCCGUAAUCCGGGUUGCGGACAGUGUCUGGUGGGUAGUUUGACUGGGGCGGUCUCCUCCUAAAGAGUAACGGAGGAGCACGAAGGUUGGCUAAUCCUGGUCGGACAUCAGGAGGUUAGUGCAAUGGCAUAAGCCAGCUUGACUGCGAGCGUGACGGCGCGAGCAGGUGCGAAAGCAGGUCAUAGUGAUCCGGUGGUUCUGAAUGGAAGGGCCAUCGCUCAACGGAUAAAAGGUACUCCGGGGAUAACAGGCUGAUACCGCCCAAGAGUUCAUAUCGACGGCGGUGUUUGGCACCUCGAUGUCGGCUCAUCACAUCCUGGGGCUGAAGUAGGUCCCAAGGGUAUGGCUGUUCGCCAUUUAAAGUGGUACGCGAGCUGGGUUUAGAACGUCGUGAGACAGUUCGGUCCCUAUCUGCCGUGGGCGCUGGAGAACUGAGGGGGGCUGCUCCUAGUACGAGAGGACCGGAGUGGACGCAUCACUGGUGUUCGGGUUGUCAUGCCAAUGGCACUGCCCGGUAGCUAAAUGCGGAAGAGAUAAGUGCUGAAAGCAUCUAAGCACGAAACUUGCCCCGAGAUGAGUUCUCCCUGACUCCUUGAGAGUCCUGAAGGAACGUUGAAGACGACGACGUUGAUAGGCCGGGUGUGUAAGCGCAGCGAUGCGUUGAGCUAACCGGUACUAAUGAACCGUGAGGCUUAACCUUACAACGCCGAAGCUGUU